CUCACUUUCACCAAAGACAACGUAUAUGAAUUCCGUGAGUGGAGGACGAGAGCGCCGGAGUUUAUGCGGUUAGAAGAAAUCUCUAGCAUAAAUUCU
Sinocyclocheilus grahami is the source of this 96-nucleotide long non-coding RNA. RefSeq lists it as uncharacterized. Lineage: Eukaryota; Metazoa; Chordata; Actinopteri; Cypriniformes; Cyprinidae. The transcript is spliced from 3 exons. The record is from RefSeq and is a predicted model, not a curated record.